UGGAAAAGUACCCCAUAUACCGGAUGACAUUUUUGAAUACGUACCCUGCUGACCGAUGCCAGACACUAACGCCUGAGAAACUGAUACUGGCUCUUGGGAUGUAACUUGAUUGGUAAAGAUACUUUCCACUGUACGAUUGGUGUUACUCAAUUGAGACUUGUCUGCGGAGAGAAUAGGCUUAUCUUGCAACUUGUCAGCCCCAGCCAGCAAGGAAGCCUCCACAGACUGACCAUUUGCAGAUCCUCUGCAAGAGUCACCUUUCUCUGUAUG
This 270-nucleotide unclassified non-coding RNA is filed under the name Hevea brasiliensis (rubber tree). The record is from RNAcentral. Lineage: Eukaryota; Viridiplantae; Streptophyta; Magnoliopsida; Malpighiales; Euphorbiaceae.